RNAcentral lists this ribosomal RNA (429 nucleotides) under Fusobacteriota bacterium. Its description in RNAcentral is "Fusobacteria bacterium partial 16S ribosomal RNA". It matches the Rfam family "Bacterial small subunit ribosomal RNA", at positions 355 to 776 of the family's 1533-position model. The record is from RNAcentral. Lineage: Bacteria; Fusobacteriati; Fusobacteriota.
UGGGGAAUAUUGCGCAAUGGGCGAAAGCCUGACGCAGCGACGCCGCGUGAGGGAUGAAGGUUUUCGGAUCGUAAACCUCUGUCAGAAGGGAAGAAACCGCACUGUGCUAAUCAGCAGUGCCUUGACGGUACCUUCAAAGGAAGCACCGGCUAACUCCGUGCCAGCAGCCGCGGUAAUACGGAGGGUGCAAGCGUUAAUCGGAAUUACUGGGCGUAAAGCGCACGUAGGCUGCUUUGUAAGUCAGGGGUGAAAUCCCACGGCUCAACCGUGGAACUGCCUUUGAUACUGCUUAGCUUGAAUCCGGGAGAGGGUGGCGGAAUUCCAGGUGUAGGAGUGAAAUCCGUAGAUAUCUGGAAGAACAUCAGUGGCGAAGGCGGCCACCUGGACCGGUAUUGACGCUGAGGUGCGAAAGCGUGGGGAGCAAACAGG